UACAGAGGGUGCAAGCGUUAAUCGGAGUUACUGGGCGUAAAGGGCGCGUAGGUGGAUAUUUUAGUCGGGUGUGAAAUCCCUGGGCUUAACCUAGGAAUUGCAUUCGAUACUGAAUAUCUAGAGUAUGGUAGAGGAAAGUGGAAUUCUCGGUGUAGCGGUGAAAUGCGUAGAUAUCGGGAAGAACACCGGUGGCGAAGGCGGCUUUCUGGACCAAUACUGACACUGAGGCGCGAGAGCGUGGGGAG
Molecule: ribosomal RNA, 245 nt
Filed under: uncultured bacterium
Lineage: Bacteria
Description: partial 16S ribosomal RNA
Rfam family: Bacterial small subunit ribosomal RNA
Source: RNAcentral